This 484-nucleotide ribosomal RNA is filed under the name uncultured bacterium. Its description in RNAcentral is "partial 16S ribosomal RNA". It matches the Rfam family "Bacterial small subunit ribosomal RNA", at positions 30 to 507 of the family's 1533-position model. The record is from RNAcentral.
AUUGAACGCUGGCGGCAUGCCUUACACAUGCAAGUCGAACGGCAGCGCGGGAGCAAUCCUGGCGGCGAGUGGCGAAAGGGUGAGUAAUACAUCGGAACGUGCCCAAUCGUGGGGGAUAACGCAGCGAAAGCUGUGCUAAUACCGCAUACGAUCUACGGAUGAAAGCAGGGGAUCGCAAGACCUUGCGCGCAUGGAGCGGCCGAUGGCAGAUUAGGUAGUUGGUGAGGUAAAGGCUCACCAAGCCUUCGAUCUGUAGCUGGUCUGAGAGGACGACCAGCCACACUGGGACUGAGACACGGCCCAGACUCCUACGGGAGGCAGCAGUGGGGAAUUUUGGACAAUGGGCGAAAGCCUGAUCCAGCCAUGCCGCGUGCAGGAUGAAGGCCUUCGGGUUGUAAACUGCUUUUGUACGGAACGAAACGGUCUUUUCUAAUAAAGAAGGCUAAUGACGGUACCGUAAGAAUAAGCACCGGCUAACUACGUG